CGGCGUGCUUAACACAUGCAAGUCGAACGGAAAGGCCCUGCUUUUGUGGGGUGCUCGAGUGGCGAACGGGUGAGUAACACGUGAGUAACCUGCCCUUGACUUUGGGAUAACUUCAGGAAACUGGGGCUAAUACCGGAUAGGAGCUCCUGCUGCAUGGUGGGGGUUGGAAAGUUUCGGCGGUUGGGGAUGGACUCGCGGCUUAUCAGCUUGUUGGUGGGGUAGUGGCUUACCAAGGCUUUGACGGGUAGCCGGCCUGAGAGGGUGACCGGCCACAUUGGGACUGAGAUACGGCCCAGACUCCUACGGGAGGCAGCAGUGGGGAAUAUUGCACAAUGGGCGGAAGCCUGAUGCAGCAACGCCGCGUGCGGGAUGACGGCCUUCGGGUUGUAAACCGCUUUCGCCUGUGACGAAGCGUGAGUGACGGUAAUGGGUAAAGAAGCACCGGCUAACUACGUGCCAGCAGCCGCGGUGAUACGUAGGGUGCGAGCGUUGUCCGGAUUUAUUGGGCGUAAAGGGCUCGUAGGUGGUUGAUCGCGUCGGAAGUGUAAUCUUGGGGCUUAACCCUGAGCGUGCUUUCGAUACGGGUUGACUUGAGGAAGGUAGGGGAGAAUGGAAUUCCUGGUGGAGCGGUGGAAUGCGCAGAUAUCAGGAGGAACACCAGUGGCGAAGGCGGUUCUCUGGGCCUUUCCUGACGCUGAGGAGCGAAAGCGUGGGGAGCGAACAGGCUUAGAUACCCUGGUAGUCCACGCUGUAAACGGUGGGUACUAGGUGUGGGGUCCAUUCCACGGGUUCCGUGCCGUAGCUAACGCUUUAAGUACCCCGCCUGGGGAGUACGGCCGCAAGGCUAAAACUCAAAGGAAUUGACGGGGCCCCGCACAAGCGGCGGAGCAUGCGGAUUAAUUCGAUGCAACGCGUAGAACCUUACCUGGGUUUGACAUGGAUCGGGAGUGCUCAGAGAUGGGUGUGCCUCUUUUGGGGUCGGUUCACAGGUGGUGCAUGGCUGUCGUCAGCUCGUGUCGUGAGAUGUUGGGUUAAGUCCCGCAACGAGCGCAACCCUUGUUCACUGUUGCCAGCACGUUAUGGUGGGGACUCAGUGGAGACCGCCGGGGUCAACUCGGAGGAAGGUGGGGAUGACGUCAAGUCAUCAUGCCCCUUAUGUCCAGGGCUUCACGCAUGCUACAAUGGCUGGUACAGAGAGUGGCGAGCCUGUGAGGGUGAGCGAAUCUCGGAAAGCCGGUCUCAGUUCGGAUUGGGGUCUGCAACUCGACCUCAUGAAGUCGGAGUCGCUAGUAAUCGCAGAUCAGCAACGCUGCGGUGAAUACGUUCCCGGGGCUUGUACACACCGCCCGUCAAGUCAUGAAAGUUGGUAACACCCGAAGCCGGUGGCCUAACCGUUGUGGGGGAGCCGUCGAAGGUGGGACUGGUGAUUAGGACUAAGU
Molecule: ribosomal RNA, 1439 nt
Filed under: uncultured organism
Description: 16S ribosomal RNA
Rfam family: Bacterial small subunit ribosomal RNA
Source: RNAcentral